Molecule: transfer RNA, 64 nt
Filed under: Phryganea bipunctata
Lineage: Eukaryota; Metazoa; Arthropoda; Insecta; Trichoptera; Phryganeidae
Description: tRNA-His
Source: RNAcentral
ACUUAAAUAGUUUAAUUAAAAUUUUAAUUUGUGGAAUUGAAGAUAUGAGGAGUCAUUUUAAGUU